CUUGUUCCCUUGUUUACAUGUGCUGUCGGUCGUACGAGUUGCUACGAUGUGUUUGUUUGAUCGUGUUUUUGCGUUUGCUGUAAUGAAUUGUGACUUAGUUCGCGUGCACAAAAGUGUCCGAAGAUAGCUUGUGUCUCGCUGCAAACUCGCGGUAUGCGUGGUGCGCCAGGCAAACGUGGACCAACGAUUUUCAUGCCAUGGAGUGCGUUCCCUUUGUCCGUGGUGGUUGUGGAAAGUUCGGUGGACGCCGCAAAGAAAUGAUGCGCAUUAUUAGCGUUCCGCAGGUCGUCCACUACGCAACUGCAUGUAUGCGGGAAUAACUUUGCAGCUCCGGCAACUUGGAAGGCGCUUUUCGACCGCAUCGUACCAUUUAAAAGUGGCAAGGCCGUGACCAACAACAGUGUCCACGUCAGGGAGGAGCUAUGGCUGCAGCAGCACUGUGUGUAAUCGGAUGGUCUGGUCAGGUACAGAUUGGUGUGGGAUUGGUGAUGCCACUCAACAAGUGGCAUUACAUAUUCAAGUCUGCUUCCGACGGGAAGUGCCCAUUAGAGGUGGCAUGGCACCUGUGGACACCAGUGCAAGCAGGUGAAAGCAGCCUGACUGGACAGGCCUGCCGGACAAUGUGCCGCGCAUCUGGGAAGCUUCCGGCAACACCGGAGAAAGUGGCUGUUU
Molecule: long non-coding RNA, 672 nt
Filed under: Dermacentor andersoni
Lineage: Eukaryota; Metazoa; Arthropoda; Arachnida; Ixodida; Ixodidae
Description: uncharacterized LOC126519938
Source: RNAcentral